AAAGCCCCUGGUGUGAGCUCCAGAGCUUUUGUCCAGAGACAGAAGAGGUUCUUGGGCAGAGUGGAGUGUGGGAAUUCAGAACUGAAUGGAUGUGUUGAUACAGGAGGUGUUCUGGGCAUGAUGCCUGUUCGAUGGCAUGAGGAAAUGGCACCGACUCAGGUCUGAGCAUUCACUCCAAGCUGCAGCACAGCCUCAGGGUUUGAUAAGCUGCGUGCUGCUGCUGAGCCUUCCAAGGAGCUCACCAACAAGAGCGUCGAUUACAGUGCAUGCAAAGAAACCACCUGCGAUCUGAGGCCAGCAGCACAUGUGAAAGCUGGCUGAGGACACCUGGGCAGAUGAGAGCAAGCAGAGCAUGGAGUAUGCUGGCCCUUCUCCACGUGGGAGCAGUUACUUAGGAUAAAUCUGGGAAACAUGGUCCUUGAUAGCAAGGUCGGCUGAGAGGCACUGAGUCAGCAGCACGAUGUGGAGAUGAAACAUACCUGCAGAAGGGCGUUUUGGAAAGUCCUGCAAUUCUGCCAGAACUGCGCGUGAUGGAGGAUAAUGAGUCCUUCUAAAAAUAGCAGCAGCACCUCCUCAGAGGGUUACUGGGGCAGCUGCUGGAGCUCAGAAGAGGCUGUAAUUCAUAUGCUGAAGCCACACAGGGACGUUUGGGCUUUGUAAUUCCUGUGCCAUAAAGCAAAAGAAGCAAAAGUUGUAUCUGAAGAGCCCACAGAAAUUCAGAGGAUGAGGACAUUCCACUCCUGCUGUGCUCGUCAUGGAAGGAAGCACCACUGUAACCCAGGGGAUGGCACUGAGGAUUCUGUUGGCGCACACAGCACACCUUGCAGAAUAAAACCCAGAAUGGCAGCAGAGCAGCUGAUGGCCGUGGGAGCGGCUCAGCCUCACCGAGGGGUUCUGUUUCCUGGGACAAGAACGGGUGCAGCCUCCAGAGCUCCACUGCGAUAAUGCAAGCCAUGGGCACGGGCUGGGAGUGCAGCGUGACCCCGUGGGAACUUCCUGAGGGAAAGCAAGUUUGAGGGAGGGGCAAAGCGCAGGUUCAGCCCCUCUCUGCACUCACAGUGCUCCUCACAGCAGCAUCUAUACAGAAGCACUCCGCAUUUCCCAGGGAGAGGCCCUUACCGCAGCACCCCGUGC
RNAcentral lists this long non-coding RNA (1134 nucleotides) under Gallus gallus (chicken). RNAcentral describes it as "long non-coding RNA NONGGAT009436". The record is from RNAcentral. Lineage: Eukaryota; Metazoa; Chordata; Aves; Galliformes; Phasianidae.